CAUGUACUCCCUCCGAUCCUAAAUUCCUGUCUCAAAUUUGUCCAAAUAUGAAUGUAUCUAUUCUUAAAAAGUGUCUAGAUACAUGUAAUAUUUUGACAACAAUUUAGGAUCGGAGGGAGUACAAG
Brachypodium distachyon (stiff brome) is the source of this 125-nucleotide non-coding RNA. The record is from Rfam. NCBI's taxonomy places the organism in Eukaryota, Viridiplantae, Streptophyta, Magnoliopsida, Poales, Poaceae.